Molecule: ribosomal RNA, 484 nt
Filed under: uncultured bacterium
Lineage: Bacteria
Description: partial 16S ribosomal RNA
Rfam family: Bacterial small subunit ribosomal RNA
Source: RNAcentral
AUUGAACGCUGGCGGCAGGCCUAACACAUGCAAGUCGAGCGGAUGAAGGGAGCUUGCUCCUGGAUUCAGCGGCGGACGGGUGAGUAAUGCCUAGGAAUCUGCCUGGUAGUGGGGGAUAACGUCCGGAAACGGGCGCUAAUACCGCAUACGUCCUGAGGGAGAAAGUGAGGGAUCUUCGGACCUCACGCUAUCAGAUGAGCCUAGGUCGGAUUAGCUAGUUGGUGGGGUAAAGGCCUACCAAGGCGACGAUCCGUAACUGGUCUGAGAGGAUGAUCAGUCACACUGGAACUGAGACACGGUCCAGACUCCUACGGGAGGCAGCAGUGGGGAAUAUUGGACAAUGGGCGAAAGCCUGAUCCAGCCACGCCGCGUGUGUGAAGAAGGUCUUCGGAUUGUAAAGCACUUUAAGUUGGGAGGAAGGGCAGUAAGUGAAUACCUUGCUGUUUUGACGUUACCAACAGAAUAAGCACCGGCUAACUUCGUG